GUCUGUGAUGCAACUCUCAUUCACCAAGACUUUAGUUUAAGCCAAGUUCCAGACGGUGCCACAAACAUACAUACUUUAACCUUAAACUUUCGAGGAGAAAAGAUUUGGAUGCAACCAGACGGAAAACAACUAUGCACUGCAUUCGACAAGCUAAGAAAGCUGACCAUCCAUGGUAUCUUUAUAAAAUUUGACCUAUUAUGGACAUUAAAUCUCAUCGAAGCUGCUCCAUCUGUCGAGACAUUUGAUGUUGAGCCGGAUACCUCAAUUAACAUGUUUGAACAUCCAUGCCAGGAGGGUGAUGAAGCAAGAAUAAGAUGUUUUGGUGCUCAGAGAGUGGAACCUUCAUGGAAGUUGUCUGGGUUCACAAGCUGUCACAAGUGGCAAUUGAAAGAGUUCUAGUUAGGUGGUUUUAGGCCCCUACUGGAGCAACACUUUUUAUUUGUAAGUAUUGUUAUGGGUCGAGCUCCAGACUUGAAGACAGUUCUUCUCACAGAGGGUCAAUAUCCAUGCAAGGGUUGUGACACAAGAAUCCCAAUACCUCCUCCGGUAGGGGGCUUCUUUCCAACUUUCAGGGAUGCCCAAGAAGCAAUAGCCAAGCAACUUAGAGAGAGGGCCCGGUCCUCGGCACAGAUAAUUUUUCAUAGUGGUUUGACAUACCCCUCGUGGGCAACCCGAUCAUAUAUUUAUUAG
RNAcentral lists this ribosomal RNA (690 nucleotides) under Triticum aestivum (bread wheat). RNAcentral's name for it is "partial small subunit ribosomal RNA". The record is from RNAcentral. Lineage: Eukaryota; Viridiplantae; Streptophyta; Magnoliopsida; Poales; Poaceae.